Molecule: ribosomal RNA, 1068 nt
Filed under: Acinetobacter beijerinckii
Lineage: Bacteria; Pseudomonadati; Pseudomonadota; Gammaproteobacteria; Moraxellales; Moraxellaceae
Description: bacterial SSU rRNA
Rfam family: Bacterial small subunit ribosomal RNA
Source: RNAcentral
CGUUUUGGGGUUGGAAAACCACUUUUGGUUGUAAAGCACUUUAAGCGAGGAGGAGGCUACUAGUAUUAAUACUACUGGAUAGUGGACGUUACUCGCAGAAUAAGCACCGGCUAACUCUGUGCCAGCAGCCGCGGUAAUACAGAGGGUGCGAGCGUUAAUCGGAUUUACUGGGCGUAAAGCGUGCGUAGGCGGCUGAUUAAGUCGGAUGUGAAAUCCCUGAGCUUAACUUAGGAAUUGCAUUCGAUACUGGUCAGCUAGAGUAUGGGAGAGGAUGGUAGAAUUCCAGGUGUAGCGGUGAAAUGCGUAGAGAUCUGGAGGAAUACCGAUGGCGAAGGCAGCCAUCUGGCCUAAUACUGACGCUGAGGUACGAAAGCAUGGGGAGCAAACAGGAUUAGAUACCCUGGUAGUCCAUGCCGUAAACGAUGUCUACUAGCCGUUGGGGCCUUUGAGGCUUUAGUGGCGCAGCUAACGCGAUAAGUAGACCGCCUGGGGAGUACGGUCGCAAGACUAAAACUCAAAUGAAUUGACGGGGGCCCCCACAAGCGGUGGAGCAUGUGGUUUAAUUCGAUGCAACGCGAAGAACCUUACCUGGUCUUGACAUAGUAAGAACUUUCCAGAGAUGGAUUGGUGCCUUCGGGAACUUACAUACAGGUGCUGCAUGGCUGUCGUCAGCUCGUGUCGUGAGAUGUUGGGUUAAGUCCCGCAACGAGCGCAACCCUUUUCCUUAUUUGCCAGCGGGUUAAGCCGGGAACUUUAAGGAUACUGCCAGUGACAAACUGGAGGAAGGCGGGGACGACGUCAAGUCAUCAUGGCCCUUACGACCAGGGCUACACACGUGCUACAAUGGUCGGUACAAAGGGUUGCUACCUAGCGAUAGGAUGCUAAUCUCAAAAAGCCGAUCGUAGUCCGGAUUGGAGUCUGCAACUCGACUCCAUGAAGUCGGAAUCGCUAGUAAUCGCGGAUCAGAAUGCCGCGGUGAAUACGUUCCCGGGCCUUGUACACACCGCCCGUCACACCAUGGGAGUUUGUUGCACCAGAAGUAGGUAGUCUAACCGCAAGGAGGACGCU